AUAAUUCAAUUCAAUUCAUAAAAGUAUGCAAUUUUUCAUCAAUGUUUUUUUAUGACGUUAUCACGUAAAACUAUCGACCGUAAACCGACUUUACAGACAACCAAUUUUUUUCAUACUUUUUUUGUUAAAAUAAU
Molecule: long non-coding RNA, 134 nt
Filed under: Cotesia glomerata
Lineage: Eukaryota; Metazoa; Arthropoda; Insecta; Hymenoptera; Braconidae
Description: uncharacterized LOC123264379
Source: RNAcentral